Molecule: ribosomal RNA, 1146 nt
Filed under: Triticum aestivum (bread wheat)
Lineage: Eukaryota; Viridiplantae; Streptophyta; Magnoliopsida; Poales; Poaceae
Description: partial small subunit ribosomal RNA
Source: RNAcentral
AUGGCGUUUUUCGGCUAUGACCCAUACGAGUACUACUACCUGCUUCUCCCUACGGCUACGGACGCCGAGCCGUUGGUGACGGAGCGGCUCCGUCCCGCCCGCCGGAGGGCCCCGGUGCGGCGCGAUGACGGCUUAUUCGGCGCCACCGAACCGGCCGCACGGACAACGGCGAGUCCAAGGCCCAGCAGGGGGUCCCCGAGGAGCUGUCCGGAUUGUUUUGAGAUUGAGGUCACCGGGCCGGACUCUGACUCGCCGCGGGCUGUGCCGAGGAAGCCGGCGCCAUCGGCGGAGGAGGCCGCGGUGAGGGUGCAGGCGGCGGCACGCGGGCUGCUCGAUCGUCGGAUGGUGCGGGAGGUGCGCGCGGUGGAGCGACUGGCGGAGGCCGUGGCCGCGAGGGUGGCCGCCGAGGCGGGGGUGCUCCGCGUGGAUGCGCGUGCGCGGAUCGGUCUCGUGGAGGAGCUCAUGCGGCUGCUGCUGCGACUGGACAGUGUCCGCGGCGCCCGGGAGUACCGCAGGCGGGUCGCCAGGCAGGUGCUCGCGCUCCAGGACGCUGUCGACGCGCUUGAGGCCGCGCCCGCGGUGGUGACCAUCGAUGAGCCGGAAGUUCAGGAUGCGGAGGAAGAAGCAGAGAGCAGGAUGGAGCCGGAGCUGCCGGUUGAGGACAACGCUACGGCGGAUUCUCUGGCUGCCGAGACAACCAACACGGCCGCGAUGGAGGUUGACGCGACGAGUUUCGUCGAUGACGACGAGGCCGGCCAGACCAAGACCGAGCUGGUGGUGGAAGUGGAAAAGGCCUCGGAGGCGGAGGGCGAGUGGGAGAUGGUGGCAACGGGGGACAUCAAUGUGUCAACCGGCGAGGUGGACCCUACACCGCCCAAGGCGCUGCAGCAGCAGCAAGAACAAGCACAGGAGGAGAAGAAGAUGGUGACCCCCGACGGGCUGGACGCAAAGAAAUUGAUGGAGAUGGUGGCAGCGUUGUGCGAGCGGAGCGCGCAACAGUGCGCCGUCAUCGAGGCCCUGGCGGAGCGGGUGGACACGCUGGAGCGCGCCAUUCGGCGGGUGGAGGAGGCCGACCGGCGCAAGCGGAGGAACAAGAAGACCAACAAAGACGGCAAGAAGAACACAAGUAGCUUCUACAGCGACUAG